Molecule: long non-coding RNA, 2325 nt
Filed under: Varroa destructor (honeybee mite)
Lineage: Eukaryota; Metazoa; Arthropoda; Arachnida; Mesostigmata; Varroidae
Description: uncharacterized LOC111252242
Source: RNAcentral
UGACUCUUAUAGAUAGUUAAUUUUGUGAAUGGCUGAAUAACACGUCGAGAUCGCGAUAGACAAAGAGUACAAAACGCCAUAUCCGUAUAAUUACAUAGCAAAGAGACCAUACCAACAAAAUGGGCAUACGCGCGACGGCAAGCGGAUAGCGAUUGUCGGCCAGAACACCCUAAACUCUUCACGAGCAAAGGAAAAGGCGAAACGAGCUAAUCAUGCCACAUUAUUAUCAGCACUGUCACACCUCCAUGAUCACGGUCAUCAUGGUCUCGGCUGAAGUAGCCCUUAUUUAGUUAAAACGACGAACGAUAUAUAGAAAGACGGUGAGCGUGGAGACUAUCAAAGCAGAGUAUAUGAACAGCAGCACUCGGUAGCCGCUUACUAACGUAACAAUAACCAAACGAACGUGUGACAUUGAACGUACGCACGAGCCAUCACGAACGCCCUAAUGCGCAGCUCCGUUUAGUUCGUAUCUAGCGGCCUCAAAAUAGAUCGAGAACUGUCAUUUGUCCAGGUUUGUUGGAGGGACCCCCACAUGGAUCAAGUAUGACUCACCCCGGCUAGAGUUUCCGAUGGGCGUCGGUCCUCGACGCAGUGAUAUUUUCAAAUGAAGAUAAGCAAUAUUGAACUUGGACCUCGGCGCAUCGUUAAUUAAUGUUGAAAAACCGCAUUUCUUCAUGAAGACACUUGAGAACAAUCAUGGGUAUGUACAACGUGUAAGUGUGCUAACGAAGAACUAUGUAGCACUAGCGUAAUGGCUCCUCAACAAAUCGGCAGUAGUUUUAUAGAGGAAACUGAACAAGCGAGCAUCGUAUCCGGUAGCUGCCGGCGACGACGGCACCACCAUCUACGAAACUGAAGAAAAUUGAAACAACCAGAAACACUAUACAGUUGUUGCGUAUACGGGCAGCUCACGCCUGUCGUUCAAGACGGAUUAUAAUUUAACCUGUACAAUCUAUAGAAGACCUUACAGGCGUCACAUAUUCUUGUAUAAUCAUCUAGACAGCAUUUAUAAGCUAUUGUCAAAGUGACAGCCGUUCCGUUGGCAAAUUGAACAGAAAUAGCCAUUGUUGCGCUACGAAUGGUCGAAAGAUCGAAAAAAAAUAAAAAAAGUACUCGAUAGACUAUAAUUAAACUGUUUUGAGUUAUUACCUUCUUUGAAAUAUAUUUUUUUGUUUUCUUGUGCAUCGUAAUGGGGCUGCGUACGGGAUAUGACGUGCGAUGAUAGCUGAACCAAUAGCAAACAUCACGAAUAUUCUAUGUCGUUUGUUGGAAAAAAUCGAUUUCUUAAGUUAUUCCGCCCUUUUUCUUUUGACCCCGACUUCCGAGGUUUAACCGCGAGCCAGGCUAAUAAUCGAUACGGCACGCAACAAACAUUGUGAUCAAAAGGGAUCAACUGCCCACUGACGAGCUAUAAAUGCCGUCCAAGUCAGGUCCGACAGGCCUAUUACAGAUUAGGUUCUAACGAACCCUCAGCCCACUUGUGGUUAGUGGCCAGAUGCUGUCCUGCGUGCCUGGUCGCUACAGAUGCACAUGGAUCGACAAAUCAUUAAGCUCUGCAACUUCGAGGCGCGAUACUACUUUUGCAAUCGGCGGCGGCACAUUUAGUGCGCAUUCUAACGACGACACACUCUGCAGAGAUCGCUUGGGCAGCGCACACUGUAAGUGUCCAUUGAGUAGCGACACAGUCCAGAAAACGUAGACGACGCCUGGGAAAAGCCCAUCAGGGUUCCCAUCGCUACGGAAAAUACAGCAGAUUCGGCGGUACUGAUAACUGCAGCCAUUUCAACAUUUAAAAUGAAUCGAAACACAUUAUGCCAAUUACAUACAAACACAGAAUUUUUCUGAUGUGCUUGCAGAAUAUUCAAAAUAGACCUCAGGCAACUUAUUCCCUCUCCGCGAAAAUUCACACGUAUACUGCUACGACUCCGGAAUAAACCAAACAUUGGGCAUCCAUUCCUAGACAUAAUCCACCUGUUGAAUGCAACCAGGACAAUAACUUCGAAAACGGUAAAUUCGACUACGUGUCUUCACUUGUGGCACAGGUUUUGGUACUUCUGCCAGGUCAUCCAAAUGAUCGAAGCCUUGAAUCCCUCACCAGUUCAAAUCCAAAUUACUAUCUUACCUGCAAUCACACUAUCUGUAAUGUAUCAGGAGUGGACAUUACUAUUAUUGUUAUUAUUGGUAAAAUCAACUCCACAAAAUUUCCAGUUGCCAAUAACCAUUACCAAUGAACGCUGCCACAGUACAUCAAUUGCCACUUCUGACACUUUGCCCAUUAUUCUAAGGCCAUAAAACCAUGACUAAUGAACUAUGACCAAUACUUAG